CCUUUGGAAGAUUGUCGGCGGUAAACAGUCUUGACAGGACGGAAAAAGGCGGCGACUCAGAUGAGGAACAUGCAACGGGGGUCAGUCUUCCCUCUUAGGCACGCAGCCUUCCAUCUCAAGGACCUCCGGCCAGCCCUCGAACUUGUUGGUGUCUGCGCUGCUCUUGAUGUGCUGCCAUAAACAACAAUAUACAAAUCAUGGGUUGUCCACAUGCAUAAAGAGCAUGUCGUCGUCGCCGUCCAAGAUGGAGUAAAACUGCAAACACACACAAAAGAAGAUGGAGGCAUGAGAACAAGAGAAAGGCUCCGAUGUAGCCAAAACUGUAGACAUCUUCGUGGAUGACGGCGAAGGUCUUGCCAAGGUCUUUGGUCCUCUUCAGCUGCAGAUCGCCCCUCUCUUCUGCAUCCACUACAACGACAGGAGAAGCCGAUGCUCGGCUGGUGUCAGGCUGACCUGGCACGACUCGAAAGCAGGACCGCCGGAAGCCUCGGAGGUGGCCGCGGAGGGAGUGCGAGUGCGCGUUUCGGCCCCGAAUCGGAGCAGAAGGCAGAGCGCCACGACUCGCCACCAGAUCAUGACCGCUGCCGGACAAAACUCGGGAGCCCCACAGUCGGUGUCCUCGGGCGGGAUGCGUGCGCGCAGAGUGGCGGGGGCAGAGGCAGAG
Long non-coding RNA from Phycodurus eques (leafy seadragon), 664 nucleotides. RefSeq lists it as uncharacterized. The transcript has 4 exons. The record is from RefSeq and is a predicted model, not a curated record. NCBI's taxonomy places the organism in Eukaryota, Metazoa, Chordata, Actinopteri, Syngnathiformes, Syngnathidae.